UACGGGGGGCAGCAGUGGGGAAUUUUUUGUGGACAAUGGGGAAACCUGAUCCAGCCAUCCCGCGUGUGCGAUGAAGGCCUUCGGGUUGUAAAGCACUUUUGGCAGGAAAACGGCACGGGAUAUUUACGUGCGGCGAAGCCAGUACCUGCAGAAUAAGCACCGGCUAACUACGUGCCAGCAGCCGCGGUAAUACUGCGUAGGGUGCAAGCGUUAAUCGGAAUUACUGGGCGUAAAGCGUGCGCGGGCGGUUCCGGAAGAAAGAUGUGAAAUCCCAGAGCUUAACUUUGGAACUGCAUUUUUAACUACCGAGCUAGAGUGUGUCAGAGGGGAGGUGGAAUUCCUACAGCGUGUGGCAGUGAAAUGCGUAGAUAUGCGGAGGGAACACCGAUGGCGAAGACGGCCCCUCCUGGGAUAGCACUGACGCUCAUGCACGAAAGCGUGGGGAGCAAACGGGAUUAGAUACCCUGGUAG
This 471-nucleotide unclassified non-coding RNA is filed under the name uncultured Bordetella sp. RNAcentral's name for it is "partial 16S-23S ribosomal RNA intergenic spacer". It matches the Rfam family "Bacterial small subunit ribosomal RNA", at positions 340 to 793 of the family's 1533-position model. Lineage: Bacteria; Pseudomonadati; Pseudomonadota; Betaproteobacteria; Burkholderiales; Alcaligenaceae. The record is from RNAcentral.